CAAGUCGAACGGCAGCGCGUUUUGGGUAACCAAAAUGGCGGCGAGUGGCGGACGGGUGAGUAAAAUGUAGGAAUCUAGCCAGAGGAAGGGGAUAACUUGGGGAAACUCAAGCUAAUACCAUAUAAGCCUUAAGGGGGAAAGCAGGGGAUCGAAAGACCUUGCGCCUUUGGAUGAGCCUACAUCGGAUUAGCUAGUUGGUAGGGUAAAGGCCUACCAAGGCGACGAUCCGUAGCUGGUCUGAGAGGAUGACCAGCCACACUGGGACUGAGACAAGGCCCAGACUCCUACGGGAGGCAGCAGUGGGGAAUAUUGGACAAUGGGGGCAACCCUGAUCCAGCAAUGCCGCGUGUGUGAAGAAGGCCUUCGGGUUGUAAAGCACUUUCAGUGGGGAGAAAGGUGCGGAUGUUAAUACCAUCCGUAAUUGAUGUUACCUACAGAAGAAGCACCGGCUAACUCUGUGCCAGCAGCCGCGGUAAUACAGAGGGUGCAAGCGUUAAUCGGAAUGACUGGGCGUAAAGGGUGUGUAGGUGGUUAUAUAAGUUAGAUGUGAAAUCCCCGGGCUUAACCUGGGAACUGCGUUUAAGACUGUAUAGCUAGAGUACUGUAGAGGAUAGUGGAAUUUCCAGUGUAGCGGUGAAAUGCGUAGAUAUUGGAAGGAACACCAGUGGCGGAGGCGACUAUCUGGAUAGAUACUGACACUGAGACACGAAAGCGUGGGGAGCAAACAGGAUUAGAUACCCUGGUAGUCCAUGCUGUAAACUAUGAGAACUUGCUGUUGGAUGCAUAAAGGCAUUUAGUAGCGAA
RNAcentral lists this ribosomal RNA (804 nucleotides) under uncultured Gammaproteobacteria bacterium. RNAcentral's name for it is "bacterial SSU rRNA". It matches the Rfam family "Bacterial small subunit ribosomal RNA", at positions 58 to 850 of the family's 1533-position model. The record is from RNAcentral. Lineage: Bacteria; Pseudomonadati; Pseudomonadota; Gammaproteobacteria.